GUGGACAGAAAAGGAAGAGCGACGACUUGGGUGCGGCUGCGAAGUCUGCCUGCCCAACGCCAAUUGCUCCUCACCCAAAAACGCACCCCAUUGACGAAGAUCAUCCUUGUAUAGACGAUGAUAAAUACUCUCAUCUGACAAGAACACGUCAUCAGAAGUCACUGCCUGC
Molecule: long non-coding RNA, 169 nt
Organism: Sycon ciliatum
Lineage: Eukaryota; Metazoa; Porifera; Calcarea; Leucosolenida; Sycettidae
Exons: 3
Source: RefSeq, a predicted model, not a curated record